RNAcentral lists this ribosomal RNA (431 nucleotides) under Bordetella sp. RNAcentral's name for it is "bacterial SSU rRNA". It matches the Rfam family "Bacterial small subunit ribosomal RNA", at positions 30 to 461 of the family's 1533-position model. Lineage: Bacteria; Pseudomonadati; Pseudomonadota; Betaproteobacteria; Burkholderiales; Alcaligenaceae. The record is from RNAcentral.
AUUGAACGCUAGCGGAAUGCCUUACACAUGCAAGUCGAACGGCAGCACGGACUUCGGUCUGGUGGCGAGUGGCGAACGGGUGAGUAAUGUAUCGGAACGUACCCAGUAGCGGGGGAUAACUACUCGAAAGAGUAGCUAAUACCGCAUACGCCCUACGGGGGAAAGCGGGGGAUCUUCGGACCUCGCACUAUUGGAGCGGCUGAUAUCGGAUUAGCUAGUUGGUGAGGUAAAGGCUCACCAAGGCGACGAUCCGUAGCUGGUUUGAGAGGACGACCAGCCACACUGGAACUGAGACACGGUCCAGACUCCUACGGGAGGCAGCAGUGGGGAAUUUUGGACAAUGGGGGAAACCCUGAUCCAGCCAUUCCGCGUGUGUGAAGAAGGCCUUCGGGUUGUAAAGCACUUUUGGCGGGAAAGAAACGGCGUCGACU